AGGGAAUCUUCCACAAUGGACGAAAGUCUGAUGGAGCAAUGCCGCGUGAGCGAAGAAGGUUUUCGGAUCGUAAAGCUCUGUUGUAAGGGAAGAACACGUACGGGAGUAACUGCCCGUAUCUUGACGGUACCUUAUUAGAAAGCCACGGCUAACUACGUGCCAGCAGCCGCGGUAAUACGUAGGUGGCAAGCGUUGUCCGGAAUUAUUGGGCGUAAAGCGCGCGCAGGCGGUUCUUUAAGUCUGAUGUGAAAGCCCACGGCUCAACCGUGGAGGGUCAUUGGAAACUGGAGAACUUGAGUACAGAAGAGGAAAGCGGAAUUCCACGUGUAGCGGUGAAAUGCGUAGAGAUGUGGAGGAACACCAGUGGCGAAGGCGGCUUUCUGGUCUGUAACUGACGCUGAGGCGCGAAAGCGUGGGGAGCAAAC
This 425-nucleotide ribosomal RNA is filed under the name uncultured bacterium. Its description in RNAcentral is "bacterial SSU rRNA". It matches the Rfam family "Bacterial small subunit ribosomal RNA", at positions 356 to 773 of the family's 1533-position model. The record is from RNAcentral.